ACGAUUCCACCGAGGGGAUGAACAAGAAGUGGUGGGUCAAUGUCCACAGUUGUGUGGGUAGACAUAAUAGUAACAACCUCUUCUUGAAACGGUUGAUCUAAUGUUGAGUUAGAUGCGACAGUGGAGACUUCAACCUUUGAUCUUGCGUUGACUUUGCAUGCUGACCACCAGUUUUUCUUUGAUUGGUUCGUACUGGGAUAGGGGCAGUAAAACACUUGAACUGCCUGACUCGCUAAAACAAACGGAUCAUACUUCUGAUAUUUUCUUGUGUGGUUCACUGAAACCAACUUGAAGUUUGUAUCAAUAGAAGUUCCCCGAGCAGACAAGUCAAACCAUUCACAUUUGAACAAGACUGUCUUCUUAAUUGGAUACCCCCAUACUCCAGCACACACACCUCUUGUAGACGCCCAUAAAAGUCUUGCACAUCUCUACCAUAGACCGAGCCUUUUAUGCAAACGCCACUGUUCACAGUUGCACGCUCUCCAUCAAGAUCAGUCGUGUGAAAUCUAUAGCCAUUCACAAAAUACCCGGAGUAUGUUUCAAUCUCAGUUAAAGGCCCUGCUGCAAGCGACUUGAUAUACGGGUUCAAAUCAUUGUUAGAAGGGCGAAUCACUUGUUAAACACAAUAAUUUAGGUUUGCAAGCCCAUUUUUAGUCAAGUAAAUGUAUAUUGAACAUAAAUUUGUCGCAUCUUACAUAAUGGCCAAACCACA
This 712-nucleotide long non-coding RNA is filed under the name Salvia miltiorrhiza (redroot sage). Its description in RNAcentral is "long non-coding RNA (SMIL_LNC000631)". Lineage: Eukaryota; Viridiplantae; Streptophyta; Magnoliopsida; Lamiales; Lamiaceae. The record is from RNAcentral.